RNAcentral lists this ribosomal RNA (1449 nucleotides) under Triticum aestivum (bread wheat). RNAcentral's name for it is "partial small subunit ribosomal RNA". The record is from RNAcentral. Lineage: Eukaryota; Viridiplantae; Streptophyta; Magnoliopsida; Poales; Poaceae.
AUGGUGCGAGGCCUGCCAUGCCUCGACCAUGUGGAGCAGUUCUGCGACAUCUGCGUACUGACAAAGCAGAGACGACUCCCCUUUCCCCAACAGGCGAGUUUUCGGGCUAAGGAGAAGCUGGAGCUCGUGCACGGAGACCUGUGCGGCCCGGUGACGCCAGCCACACCAGGAGGUCGACGCUACUUCCUGCUGCUCGUCGACUAUCUCUCCCGCUACAUGUGGGUGAUGAUCCUCGGCAGUAAGGGAGAAGCGGCGGACGCCAUCAGGCGCGCGCGGGUUGGUGUGGAGGCGGAGAGCGGCCACAAAUUGCGCGUGUUGCGCACUGACAACGGCGGCGAGUUCACGGCGGCUGAAUUCGCAUCGUACUGCGCCGAUGAGGGCAUCCAGCGCCACUACUCCGCGCCAUACAGCCCGCAGCAAAACGGCGUCGUCGAGCGGCGCAACCAGACGGUUGUGGGGAUGGCUCGGGCUCUCCUCAAGCAGAGAGGGAUGCCGGCUGUCUUCUGGGGAGAGGCGGUGCUAACGGCCGUCUACAUCCUCAACCGCUCUCCUACUAAGGCACUCGACGGCAGAACUCCGUACGAGGCCUGGCAUGGGCGGAAGCUGGCGGUCUCUCAUUUGCGGGUCUUUGGCUGCCUUGCGUUCGCCAAGGAGCUCGGCCACAUCGGCAAGCUCGACGACAGGAGCACUCCGGGAGUCUUCAUCGGCUACGCGGAGGGCUCAAAGGCCUACCGCAUCCUCGACCCAAAGACACAACGUGUGCGCACAGCGCGAGACGUCGUGUUCAACGAAGGGCGAGGGUGGCAAUGGGACAAGGCGGUGGACGACGGCUCGACGCCGACGUAUGGCGACUUCAUUGUCGAGUACGCUCACUUCAAGGAAGCUGGGGGAGCAAGCAGCUCCUCUUCACCGGGCACGUCUACCCCGGCCCCCAAAACUACAUCGACUCCGGCGCCUGCUACACCGACGACACCACAACCGGCGACGCCGCAUACUCCAGCCCUGGUGGUCGCCACUCCGGGCUCGUCUUCAUCAGCACCAGCUCACGCAGAGCACAACCCGAUGAAGUUCGCUUCCCCGCUCACUCACGACGAGGAGCGGGUCGACGCAUGGUAUGGAGGCGAACAGCAGCGGUAUCGCACGAUGGAUGAUCUACUCGGCGACCAGCCGGUGCCGGGACUGAUGCCACGUGACCUGGAGGCGCAGCUACAACUCGCGUGUGAGGACGGCGAACCACGGUCUUUUGCAGAGGCCGAGAGAGAUGCGGCAUGGCGCGCCGCGAUGCAGUUGGAGAUGGAUGCGGUCGAGCAAAACCGCACCUGGGAGCUCGCUGACCUCCCCCGUGGUCAUCGCGCAAUCACCCUUAAGUGGGUGUUCAAGCUGAAGAGGGAUGGAGCCGGCGCCAUCAUCAAGCACAAGGCUCGCCUGGUGGCCCGAGGCUUCUUGUAG